RNAcentral lists this ribosomal RNA (468 nucleotides) under uncultured bacterium. Its description in RNAcentral is "partial 16S ribosomal RNA". It matches the Rfam family "Bacterial small subunit ribosomal RNA", at positions 28 to 507 of the family's 1533-position model. The record is from RNAcentral.
GACGAACGCUGGCGGCGUGCUUAACACAUGCAAGUCGAACGGAAAGGCCCUGCUUUUGUGGGGUGCUCGAGUGGCGAACGGGUGAGUAACACGUGAGUAACCUGCCCUUGACUUUGGGAUAACUUCAGGAAACUGGGGCUAAUACCGGAUAGGAGCUCCUGCUGCAUGGUGGGGGUUGGAAAGUUUCGGCGGUUGGGGAUGGACUCGCGGCUUAUCAGCUUGUUGGUGGGGUAGUGGCUUACCAAGGCUUUGACGGGUAGCCGGCCUGAGAGGGUGACCGGCCACAUUGGGCCUGCGAUACGGCCCAGACUCCUACGGGAGGCAGCAGUGGGGAAUAUUGCACAAUGGGCGGAAGCCUGAGGCAGCAACGCCGCGUGCGGGAUGACGGCCUUCGGGUUGUAAACCGCUUUCGCCUGUGACGAAGCGUGAGUGACGGUAAUGGGUAAAGAAGCACCGGCUAACUACGUG